RNAcentral lists this ribosomal RNA (465 nucleotides) under Haptophyta environmental samples. RNAcentral describes it as "SSU rRNA". It matches the Rfam family "Eukaryotic small subunit ribosomal RNA", at positions 432 to 900 of the family's 1831-position model. The record is from RNAcentral. Lineage: Eukaryota; Haptophyta.
GCGCGUAAAUUGCCCGAAUCCUGACACAGGGAGGUAGUGACAAGAAAUAACAAUACAGGGCUACAUCUAGUCUUGUAAUUGGAAUGAGCACAAUUUACAUCUCUUCACGAGGAUCAAUUGGAGGGCAAGUCUGGUGCCAGCAGCCGCGGUAAUUCCAGCUCCAAUAGCGUAUAUUAAAGUUGUUGCAGUUAAAACGCUCGUAGUCGGAUUUCGGGGCGGGCCUGCCGGUUUGCCGAUGGGUAUAUACUGGUGGGUGCGUCCUUCCUUCCGGAGACCGCGCCUCCUCUUAACUGAGCGGGCGUGGGAGACGGAUCGUUUACUUUGAAAAAAUCAGAGUGUUUCAAGCAGGCAUUUCGCUUUUGCAUGGAUUAGCAUGGGAUAAUGAAAUAGGACUUUGGUGCUAUUUUGUUGGUUUCGAGCACCGAAGUAAUGAUUAACAGGGACAGUCAGGGGCACUCGUAUUCC